Molecule: ribosomal RNA, 431 nt
Filed under: Ammonia aomoriensis
Lineage: Eukaryota; Foraminifera; Rotaliida; Rotaliidae
Description: SSU rRNA
Rfam family: Eukaryotic small subunit ribosomal RNA
Source: RNAcentral
UGGCUUAAUUUGACUCAACGCGGGAAAUCUUACCGGGUCCGGACACACUGAGGAUUGACAGAUAUAUACCCCGUGAUUUUAUCGCGGGGUUGAAAGAUGCUAGUUCUUUCAUGAUUAUGUGAUAGGUGGUGCAUGGCCGUUCUUAGUUCGUGGAGUGAUCUGUCUGCUUAAUUGCGUAUCAAUAAUAGAGACCUAGUAUACGCGUAGACUCAUGCGGUAGUGACCCCCCUUCACAGGGCGCGUGUCGCACGUAUGUUAUACGCACAGGUCUCCGAUAGCAACGAACGUGACCGUACUCUAUUGUUGCAGCGACAAUACCUUUCAACGGGUAUUACCGCUGCUUAGCAAGAUUCGUCUUGCAUUAAACUAUAGAGACCGCUGUUUCUUCUUUAAACCAGAGGAAGGAUACGGCAAUAACAGGUCUGUGAUGC